This 253-nucleotide ribosomal RNA is filed under the name uncultured bacterium. RNAcentral describes it as "partial 16S ribosomal RNA". It matches the Rfam family "Bacterial small subunit ribosomal RNA", at positions 524 to 776 of the family's 1533-position model. The record is from RNAcentral.
UACGUAGGGUGCGAGCGUUAAUCGGAAUCACUGGGCGUAAAGGGUGCGUAGGUGGCUUGGUAAGCGUGUGGUAAAAGUCCGGGGCUCAACCCCGGAUCUGCCGUGCGAACUGCUGAGCUCGAGCAAUGUAGAGGCAGGUGGAAUUUCGGGUGUAGCGGUGGAAUGCGUAGAGAUCCGAAAGAACACCAGUGGCGAAGGCGGCCUGCUGGGCAUUUGCUGACACCGAGGCACGACGGCGUGGGGAGCAAACAGG